AUGAGAGGUGGCGGAGCAAUGGAGUCGUCGUUGCUCGGAGCAAACCCGCGUCUCCUCUGCUGCCUCUUCCUCCUGUGGGCGCUCGCCGCCGUCGCCGAGGCCAAGACGGUGCACAAGCAAUGGGACAUCAGCUACCAGUUCACGCACUCGGACUGCGUGCGCAAGCUGGCCGUCACCAUCAACGGCCGCACCCCGGGCCCCACCAUCCGCGCCGUGCAGGGCGACACCGUGGUGGUCACCGUCAAGAACCUGCUGAUGACGGAGAACGUCGCGAUCCACUGGCAUGGCAUCCGGCAGCUGGGCACGCCGUGGGCGGACGGCACGGAGGGCGUCACGCAGUGCCCCAUCCUCCCGGGCGACGCCUUCGAGUACAGGUUCGUGGUGGAUCGGCCGGGCACCUACAUGUACCACGCGCACUACGGCAUGCAGCGCUCCGCCGGGCUCAACGGCAUGAUCGUCGUCGCGGCCGCGCCGGGCAGCGCCGACGCCGAGCCGUUCGCGUACGACGGCGGCGAGCACGAGGUCCUCCUCAACGACUGGUGGCACAAGAGCACCUACGAGCAGGCCGCGGGGCUCGCCGCCGUCCCCAUCGUGUGGGUCGGCGAGCCCCAGUCGCUGCUCAUCAACGGGCGCGGCAGGUACAACUGCUCGGCCAUGGCGCCGGACGCCGCCUGCAACGCGACGCACCCCGAGUGCGCGGCGCAGGUGUUCGCCGUGGUGCCCGGCAGGACGUACCGCUUCCGCAUCGCCAGCGUCACCUCCCUCUCCGCCCUCAACUUCGAGAUCGAGGGGCACGAGAUGACGGUGGUGGAGACGGACGGGCACUACGUGAAGCCGUUCGUGGUGAAGAACCUCAACAUCUACUCGGGCGAGACCUACUCCGUGCUCAUCAAGGCCGACCAGGACCCCAACCGCAACUACUGGCUCGCCUCCAACGUGGUGAGCCGCAAGCCCGGCACGCCCACCGGCACCGCCGUGCUCAGCUACUACGGCGGCCGCAGCAGCCCGCGCGCGCCGCCGCCCACGGCGCCGCCCGCCGGCCCGGCGUGGAACGACAGCGCGUACCGCAUCCGCCAGAGCCUCGCCACGGUGGCGCACCCGGAGCACGCGCACCCGCCGCCGCCGCGCGCCGACCGGACCAUCCUCCUCCUCAACUCGCAGAACAAGAUCGACGGCCGAAUCAAGUGGGCCAUCAACAACGUCUCCUUCACGCUGCCGCACACGCCCUACCUGGUGGCCCUGAAGCACGGCCUGCUGGGCGCCUUCGACCAGUGCCCGCCGCCGGAGACGUACAACCACACGGGGUACGACGUGUACGGCGUGCAGGCGAACCCCAACGCCACCACCAGCGACGGGCUGUACCGGCUGGCGUUCGGGUCCGUGGUGGACGUGGUGCUGCAGAACGCCAACAUGCUGGCGCCCAACAACAGCGAGACCCACCCGUGGCACCUCCACGGCCACGACUUCUGGACGCUCGGGUACGGCGUGGGGCGGUUCGACCCGGCGGUGCACCCGGCCACCUACAACCUGAGGGACCCCGUGAUGAAGAACACGGUGGCGGUGCACCCCUUCGGCUGGACGGCGCUGCGGUUCCGGGCCGACAACCCCGGCGUGUGGGCCUUCCACUGCCACAUCGAGGCGCACUUCUUCAUGGGCAUGGGCGUCGCCUUCGAGGAGGGCAUCGAGCGCGUCGGCGACCUCCCGGAGGAGAUCAGGCGCUGCGUCAGCACCAAGGGCGGACACCACUAA
RNAcentral lists this ribosomal RNA (1749 nucleotides) under Triticum aestivum (bread wheat). Its description in RNAcentral is "partial small subunit ribosomal RNA". Lineage: Eukaryota; Viridiplantae; Streptophyta; Magnoliopsida; Poales; Poaceae. The record is from RNAcentral.